This 3501-nucleotide long non-coding RNA is filed under the name Paramuricea clavata. The record is from RNAcentral. Lineage: Eukaryota; Metazoa; Cnidaria; Anthozoa; Malacalcyonacea; Plexauridae.
UGACCACAAAUGUAUGGUGGCCGAGCGUUGCCACUCGUUUUUUUUGUACAUUUUACAUUAUUUUAAAGAUUUUUUUACUUUUUAUUUUUUUAAUUAAAAUGAAAAAUAAAAAUAAAUUAAAAUGAAAUACAAAAUAAAUUAAAAUGAAAUACAAAAUAAAUUAAAAUGAAAUGCAAAAUAAUUUACAAUUAAAAUUAAAGUAAAAGUGAAUUUCACCAUGGCCGAGGGCUGCCACUACCAAAAUAUUCUUUAUAAUUUUUUUUUAAUUAAAGUGAAAAAUAAAAAUAAAUUAAAAUGAAAAAUAAAAGUAAAUUAAAAUGAAAUACAAAAUACUGAUUUACAAUUAAAAUUACAAAGUAAAAGUGAAUUUCACCAUGGCCGAGGGCUGCCACUACCAUAAUGCACAGCGACCCGAGAGAAAUUCCCAUGAGCCGAGCACACUGGCCGAGCAGCGGCCGAGCGCUAUCAUAACAUCCCAUGAACCUUUGCCCGCGCGGAAAGCAACAUGGCGGAGAAAUGGCGAAAGUUCAAAGAAGAUAUGAAAAAAAAACGCUUGAGUGGGAAGAGCCAAAAAGGGAAAGAUGUUUCCAAACGUGAAAUAACUGUUCAAAUGUUAAGCGCGGACGUGUUGGGCAAGGCCCAAAAGUAUUCACGUAUCGGCCCAAGGGAAUUUGUCCAGUUAUAUGACGACGACGAUGAAGAUCUAGAUCGAUUUUAUACAAAAGAAGAGAUGACAAUUGAACGAGUGAAGGAUGCAUGCCUGAAACAUUUUGAACCGAAGGUUGGAAACAAUGUUGUAUGUGAUAUUCUUGCCGGUGAGCAAGGACCUUCCUGCGCAUCCUUGAAGCAAAUACCUAAUAUGAAUCUUAUAUACGUCAGAUUCAUAAACAAAAGCUCGACAGCAGAUGCGCCUGUAUUCGUUGAUGAUACUGACCCAGUUCAUCCGCAAAGCACAACUGUAAAACGAAAGGGCCCUAACUCUGUUCCAAGUCCAAAAAAAGCUAAAAUCUCAACACCAAUGCCCAAGAGUCUCUCGGUAACCCAUAUGUUGAAACUAGGUAAACUUAUAAACAAGUCUACCACUACCAUCCACUUGUAUGGAUUUAAUUUGGCAGAUAUGAGCUGGUCGUCUUCACCAAGGGCAGUUGAAUUUAGUGUUUCAGAAGAUGUGCUCGGAGAAGGUGCAUUCCGAAAAGCUUAUAAAGCAGAAUCAAAAGAUGAGAGCUUUGCUGGUUCAUGGGUAGUCAAAGAAUAUAAUGAAAAUGCAUUGGAUGUCAUUGCUGAGUCCAAUCAAACUCUCGAAACCCAUACAAAGAAGGUUGUACAAAUGCACAGCUUAGCCCAGAACUUUGCAAGCCAACUGAAGACAAGUGUUGAGCAAAAUGGCAUGCAAGAAUCUUUUGGUGAUUGUUUUCAUUAUGGGAGUGUCUACUUAGGAAAAAAAGGUGACGAAUUUGUCACAGUUGAAGAGUUUGUAGAUGGAGAGUUUAGUAAGUAUAUAAACAAUGAUGGCACAUUGUGCAAGAAUGUCAACGAAGUUAUAUUACAGAAAGCAGAGUGUCUUUCUCAUUUUUCUUUUGAAAAAUCCAACAAUCAGGUAAUGGUGUUAGAUAUCCAAGGAUGUGGCUACUCCCUUGUAGACCCAGAAGUUGCAUCAUCUUCCCUCUUUGAUGAAAAUAAAGAAUUACUUUUUACCACAGGGAAUUUGUCAUUUGAAGCAAUUGCAAAAUUUAAACUCAUUCAUAGAUGUAAUGAGUACUGUGAGCUUCUGAAGCUUAAAGUACUUGUAUAGAAAGAAUACACAAACUGCUGUUAGGGGAAAGUAAUGAUGUAUCUUUAAAACAUUGUUCUUAUUUCAGUUUGGUGUAUAACAAGGACACCUAAAACUUGAUAUUAUCGACAUUAUCUGUUAGUUACUCUUGAAGAUUCAUUAAUGUCUUUUAAGAACAUAUCAGACUUUAAAUCGCAUCCCUAGUAAUGUGGUAGCAAAGAGUGACUGGGCAAGCAUCUGUUUAACACCAGGUUAUAAUAAAAAAACUUUUAUGAACACAUUGGGCAAUUUAAUUCAAGUCUUAAAUUAACAGUUGGAAAACAUAGUAGGUCCAAUGUCUUUUACCACUUUUGGUGACUAGUGUUUGCAGUAAAGAUUGAUCACCAUUUAUGUUUUUGCUUGCUACACUGGUUUAAAUAAAUUAUUACAAAGCCUAUUUGAAUUGUAAUCAAACCCCAAUGUUUCGACACUCCAGUCUAGUGUCUUCAUCAGGGGUAAUCUAAAAUUGCAAUGUAGCUUCUUACAUACCCAAAGGAUGACAUCACCUGCCAAUGAGAUGCAUGUAUUCCUCUGGUAAAUAGGCACUGUCAUCCCUAUUCAAAGGAUGAUUACUCAUUUAUAUGCCACACUAGUCAAAGACUAUGCCUAGAAGCAUGGCAUAUAAAUAUGAGUAAUCAUGCUUUGAAUAGGGAUGACGGUGCCUAUUUACCAGAGGGAUACAUGCAUCUCAUUGGCAGGUGACGUCAUCCCUUGGGUAUUUAAGAAGCCAACGAUUGUAACUUCAGAUCACCCCUGAAGACACUAGACUGGAGUGUCGAAAUGUUGGGUCUUGAUUACAAUUCGACUGGGCUUUGUAAUCAUUUAUUUAAACCGGAGUAGCAAGCGAGAACAUGGUUGAUAUACCUGGUUGCAGUGAACGAACAAACUUUGAUCACCAUUUGUUUUUCUUUCCAUCUAUCCAGGAUUGUUUUUGUUUAAACUUUACAUGAGAACAACAAACAUCAAAUCAAUUUUCAGAAGUUAUUGAACUACUUUAAAUUAAGAACUUAACCAGACUGGUUGCUACCAUGUUUCUAAGGAUUUGGUUUAAAUCUGUAUUUACAAAAUGAAUUUAAAUUUAGUUUACAUCUAUAUGUAGCAUCUACAAUGUUGUGUUAAAGUUUUCUUUGAGAUAUAUGAAUGCAGAUGCACAAUCUUUAGGUUCUAUUUUUUCUGUUUUUGGUAGAAGCGAUUCACAUCUUCUAAAUGAGGCAUCAAGGAAGUCAUCUUCCAUAUCUUGAUUGCACAGACAUGCAUCUAUAGACAUCUAUUAUAAAGAACAUUAAAAUUGACAUGUUAAAAUUAACUAUUAUAAUGUUGUUUCAAGUAUAAGUAUGCAUCUUGGCAUUCAUUUGGUUUGAUUGUGUCAUGAUCAGGGAUCAGUCUUUCACAUUCUGCUCUAACAUUUGGCUCCAAAUAGUCAUCUGGUACUUGCAAAAUGCCAGAUAGGGUAGCUGCCUCCUUCAGCUGUUCUUCAGUUACUUUUAGGCCUGUAAAAUAAGGUACUAUGUAAAGGUUACAGAAUGGUCAUAUGUGCUCCAUACAAGGAUGGAUUUUCUGGGGGAUGCACACCCCCCAAAAAAAUUUCCACCCCCCCCCUGCCAAAAUUUAAAAGCAUUAAAUUAAACUACCGUUAAUUAAGUAAGAUAGAAAUAUUAAAAUCAACAUGUUUCUAUAUAUGCUUUUUUGCA